Molecule: transfer RNA, 55 nt
Filed under: Cylicocyclus auriculatus
Lineage: Eukaryota; Metazoa; Nematoda; Chromadorea; Rhabditida; Strongylidae
Description: tRNA-Tyr
Source: RNAcentral
AAGAAUAUAGUUUAAUAAAAAUGUUAGAUUGUAAAUCUAAAGUUGUUUGUUCUUG